This 435-nucleotide ribosomal RNA is filed under the name uncultured bacterium. RNAcentral describes it as "partial 16S ribosomal RNA". It matches the Rfam family "Bacterial small subunit ribosomal RNA", at positions 29 to 507 of the family's 1533-position model. The record is from RNAcentral.
AGCGAACGCUGGCGGCAGGCUUAACACAUGCAAGUCGAGCGGGCACUUUCGGGUGUCAGCGGCGGACGGGUGAGUAACGCGUGGGAACGUGCCCUCUGGUUCGGAAUAACUCAGGGAAACUUGAGCUAAUACCGGAUACGCCCUUUUGGGGAAAGGCUUGCUGCCGGAGGAUCGGCCCGCGUCUGAUUAGCUAGUUGGUGAGGUAACGGCUCACCAAGGCGACGAUCAGUAGCUGGUCUGAGAGGAUGAUCAGCCACGCUGGGACUGAGACACGGCCCAGACUCCUACGGGAGGCAGCAGUGGGGAAUAUUGGACAAUGGGCGCAAGCCUGAUCCAGCCAUGCCGCGUGAGUGAUGAAGGCCUUAGGGUUGUAAAGCUCUUUUAUCCGGGACGAUAAUGACGGUACCGGAGGAAUAAGCCCCGGCUAACUUCGCG